CUUCCCACGAAGUGUGUAACUGUUUUCUUGGCUAUUCAUUUCUUUGGUUCGUCUCCUGGGCUACAGUGACGAGUGGCCAGUCAUUGGACCAUAAAUUGUGGGGUUAUGCUGUAUAAAUUCUAAUCAAGUGCAUUAUCGUGUUUAUAAAUUUUCCCGUAAUAUUAGAAAAUGUAGGUGCUAUUAUAUUAAGUAAUCGAAGUCGUGAUGAAUUACCUCAUGACAACCGUCGCAAGAGGAAGAAGGAGAUCAAGGAGAUUGCAAUCUGGGAAAGCCCAUGUUCCUCCUCCCAUCUCUCUCUCUCUCUCUCUCUCUCUCUCUCUCUCUCUCUCUCUCUCUCUCUCUCUCUCUCUGACAAUUUAUUGAGGCUGAAACUGUUUGAGUUUGAGGGAUAAUAUUAUGAUUUUGAUUUUGAUUUUGAUGAAUUGAAUGUGAGCUGGAAUCGGUGAUAAAGAGGAUAUCUUUGAGUGGGUUGGGUAUUUGAAUAAUCAUGAUUCUCAUCAAGGUAACUUCGCAUGCUCUGAUUCUGCUGGCGUGAAAUCCGGUUGAGGCCAAGACUGUCCUGAUGAACUCAUACAUGUUUCGAUGAUUCGGUUGCUGAUUUGGAUACAAGUUCAGUUGUUGCUGAAUGAGUCUCAACCAUGAGAAUUGACUUUAGAAUGUGGCUCAAUGCUGUUUUCCUGUGUUUAUGCUGCUAUGCGUUUCGGUUUUUGCAGCAUGAUGUUCUUUGAAAAUGUCUCCGCUGGAGCCGCCUGUGGGUAAUUAGAAUGUGGUCUUUAGUAUUUGGUCUCGAGAGUUCCUGUUGUGUAAAAUCAGAGUUGUUUCCAAGUUAUUCGAGUCACAUUAGCAAUA
This is a long non-coding RNA of Eucalyptus grandis, 849 nucleotides long. RefSeq lists it as uncharacterized. The transcript has 2 exons. The record is from RefSeq and is a predicted model, not a curated record. Lineage: Eukaryota; Viridiplantae; Streptophyta; Magnoliopsida; Myrtales; Myrtaceae.